Long non-coding RNA from Drosophila mojavensis, 1285 nucleotides. RefSeq lists it as uncharacterized. NCBI's taxonomy places the organism in Eukaryota, Metazoa, Arthropoda, Insecta, Diptera, Drosophilidae. The record is from RefSeq and is a predicted model, not a curated record. The transcript is spliced from 2 exons.
UUGGCUUUUAAUAUUCCAAUGUUGCUUAGCAUAGCAAUCGCUAUGACAGCUGGCAGGAGUUGUUUACCUAUAAAGGUAAUUUCUUUGCGUGAUUGUUGACUAAUUAUCCAACUGCAGAUUCAUCGAUAUCAGGCAGAAAUGUGUCCCCAUAAAUAUACGAGUUUUGGAUUUGAAUUACUUGAGCGUGGUUCUAACCGGAUUCUACUGAGCUUACGCUCCAUACUGAAUAAAGACAGCUGAAAAGUUGAACUAAAUCCUGGAAAUGGCGGCCAGACGUUAUUGUAACUCCAUUGUAUUCCUAUACCUGGGAGAGAACUUUGUAAAUUGCUUUUGCAUUCCAGCAAACUUUCACAUACUAUAUAAAUUCAAGUUAAGAUAAGAGGCAACCGUUUGACUCCGAGUAUUUACCCAGUGGCGGAAAUGCCCAUUAUUUUGUCCAUUACUCAUGGAUUACUUGUCGCCUGUGUGCAUGAAAAGAUCGAUUACAAGCUGCCUUACUUUUUUAAGGAAUGGCCGCUUUUUCUCCCGGGUGCAUGAAAUUAUUGAAUUUUGUAAUGCAGAAAGUAAUGAGGUGACGAAGUUUCCUUCGGCUCUCCAUUACCCAUGCGUAUACUUUUUAAAUAUUGUAAUGUAGAAAUUCCGCAACCUGAAGAAAACGCCUUAUACAUUUUCAAAAUCGCUUAUGGGUUAGUAAUGUGCGUACAUUACAACACAAUAUACCUGCAACCCAUUUUCCCACUAUAUAAAAUGGCUUACUUCUUAAUGCAAUGUAAUUGGAGAAAUAAUUGAUUACUAAUUGAAAGAUAGAAACGCUUGAGUAAUGCAGUAUUUUUUGUUUUAAUUUUUAAAAAUUAUUAUUUAUUAUUUCUUAAUAUCUAUAAAUAAAUGUAUAGUCUUAAACUAUGUAUUAUUACUAUUUUAUUAUAUCUAUCUACAUCUAAAUCUAAAGCUAUGUCUUAUUAUCUAGUUUGUCCUUAUUAUCGAACUUCUGCUUUGCCAGUCGACCUUUCUGGACCCGAAAGCAGUUUCUUAUUGUACUUAUAUAGGUCUUCUUAGUGGACCCUUCGGUUUUUACAGCAUCUGUAAAUUAAACAAUAUUAAUUUUUUUGUCAUUAAAAAUACAUGUAAGAUGAUGUAUACAUACCAGAUACUUCCCUUUAAAUUUACGUCCGCACGGCUCAACAAUAGCAGAAAAGUGACGCGCCGCGGCGGGUAAAACGAAAACAGAAAUCAUCACACAUAUGCAUUUUUGAACUUGUAUUUACACUCAUUAACACUAUACACA